RNAcentral lists this ribosomal RNA (220 nucleotides) under uncultured bacterium. RNAcentral's name for it is "partial 16S ribosomal RNA". It matches the Rfam family "Bacterial small subunit ribosomal RNA", at positions 524 to 743 of the family's 1533-position model. The record is from RNAcentral.
UACGGAGGGUGCAAGCGUUAAUCGGAAUUACUGGGCGUAAAGCGUGCGUAGGCGGUUCGUUAAGUCUGUUGUGAAAGCCCCGGGCUCAACCUGGGAAUGGCAAUGGAUACUGGCGAGCUAGAGUGUGUCAGAGGAUGGUGGAAUUCCCGGUGUAGCGGUGAAAUGCGUAGAGAUCGGGAGGAACAUCAGUGGCGAAGGCGGCCAUCUGGGACAACACUGA